AUGGCCGAGGGGGAGGAGACCAAGGUGGAGGGAACGAGAGAGGAAGAGAGAGCGGAUGCAGGGGCGGGAGCGGAGGAGGAGGAGGUAGAGGUGAAGUUCCGGCUCUUCGACGGCUCUGACAUCGGCCCCAUCCGCUGCAACGCUGCUGCUACCACCGUCGCCGCACUCAAGGACCGUGUCGUUGCCGACUGGCCCAAAGAUAAAACAAUUGUCCCAAAGAGUGCUAAUGAUGUGAAACUGAUAAGUGGAGGCAAAAUUCUAGAAAAUGACAAGAAUAUUGCACAGUGCAGAGCACCUUUUGGUGAUCUUCCCAGCACUGUUAUAACAAUGCAUGUCGUUGUCCAGCCAUCAUCCGCGAAGUCAAAACCAGACAAGAAGACGAACAAGUUGCCUAAGACCACUCGCUGCUCUUGUACUAUACUAUGA
Molecule: ribosomal RNA, 426 nt
Filed under: Triticum aestivum (bread wheat)
Lineage: Eukaryota; Viridiplantae; Streptophyta; Magnoliopsida; Poales; Poaceae
Description: partial small subunit ribosomal RNA
Source: RNAcentral